CCCUCUUCUGGUAUGCAGGCAUACAUGCAGGCAGAGCACUGUAUAUAUAAUAAAUAAAUCUUUUUUAAAAACCCACUCUAGAAAACAUUUUAUCUUUGAAAAGCAUCUCCUUUGCAGUUGAUGGCAAUGAAUGUGCAGAGUAUAGACUGGUGAGUGCUCGACCCUAAAUGGGACAUCUGCAUCACACUGAUCCCUACAAAGCUCAGGGAUCUUCUUGGAAGAGGACUUGGAAAGAUCCAGAGGUGGUGGAUAAUCAAGGGAACUAUAUGCUGGAUACAAACGGGCAGUUAUACACAUGAACUUAGAGUGAUUGUAACCCCAUGCACAAGACUUGUGCAAGCUCCAGUCAGAUAAAAGAUCACAGUACAGAAGGGGAAAGGAGGCACAAAAUCCCACCACUAGCUAAGAUGCUACUGGCAUUUGAUGACUGCUGAGAGAGAGGAUCAGGAUUCUUUAAUGACAUGACCCUUGGUAGGUUGACCAUAGGCUCUGACAGGUCACACUUCCAAACUAGCUAACAACACAAAUUGUACUUGAUGGAAGAAAAACAAAUCUCAAAACUGAAUGAGAAGGAAUGAGAGGAUAGAGAAGGUAGUUAUGGGAGGAGUUUGGUGAAAAGGGUAAAUAUGUUCAAAAUGUGUCACAUGAAAUUCCCAGAGAAUGAAUGUUUAAAAGAUAGAUGCAAGAGGUAUGAUGUAGAUGUAUGGAUUGGUUUCCUGCAAUCUCCUGAUUUCUGUGUUGUGUCCAUAAAUACUGUACUACUUCAAAAACAGCACAGGAUCCUUAAAACAGUUUUGUUUAAAGUAAAACACUGAAAAAGCCAGCCUUCAUGUGAAUGAUGGUCAUGCAUUAUAACUUCAAUCUGCAGUAUCUUUCAAAGGUACAUGUGUUAGGCUCAGCAGAUAAAAGGGUUUGCUGUACAAGACUGGCAACCUAUGUUUGAACCCACAUAAAGGUAGAAGUAAAAAAUCAGUUACACAUAGCUGUCCUCUAACCUCCACACAUGUGCCAUGACAUGUGAGGCCUCUCACAAUAAUAAAAGUUUUAGAAGGUCUAUAUUUGGAACAUCUGUAUUAUAUUUUUCCCCCAAGGCUUAGGGAACAUUGAGGAAGUGGGGCAGAAAGAUUGUAAGAACUAGAAGUCAGGGAGGACUACUAUGAAGUAGUGUCUUCUGAACAUAACAGAGUCCUUAUACUCCUAAACUGAGCAACUGUAGUUGCCUGCCCAGCAUUUGCACAAGAUCAAGCCAAUCAACUCUCCAACACUGUGAUUGCCUGCCUGAUACUUGAACAAGGUCAGCCAAGUUGGUCAACACUCCAACAUAGAUAAGGGUGAAAAAGGAAACAGGGUCAGAAAGUUUGGAUGGCCUAUCCAGCUCAUACCAGCUCAAUCACUGAACUGUGGUGUAGCCCUCUUUGCUGUCCUCUUGUGGUUACUAGAGGAACAAGGCUCACUCCAACCUCCUAUGUGAAGCCUUUUCCAACAAUCACACACAGAAAGAUCUGGUCCCUGCUUGAUGCUCAUGCAAUGAAUGCUCCAUUCAGAUUUCCAAGAACCCAUUUCUAUGCCUGUCUGGCUAUUUGUAUUUCUAGUCUAGCAUCUCCAUCACCUAGGAACUGGUUAGAAUAAGCCCCACUCUAGAUCUGUUGACUAAACAUCUAUGAAUAUAUUAUUCAGGCAAUUCAGGUGUUUUAUGUGCAUUUAUACUAAUAUAUGAGAAGCUAAUUCUGUAUUAUUUGACCCCAAGCUCUAGAAUCAAAGCUCAGAAGUCAUUAUGUUCAUAGGGAGUACAUUAGUGUCCAAUAAUGUGAUCUGUGUUUAAUAAGUGUUUUGAUUAGAUUAUCCACCAUCAAUUAUGCAAUUUUAGUUUCUUGUGUAAUUAAUUCUUCAUGUACUCUCCUUGGCUUGGAAAUUAAAAACAUUUUUCAAUAUAAAA
Molecule: non-coding RNA, 1936 nt
Organism: Myodes glareolus (Bank vole)
Lineage: Eukaryota; Metazoa; Chordata; Mammalia; Rodentia; Cricetidae
Source: RefSeq, a predicted model, not a curated record